GCUUGUCUCAAAGAUUAAGCCAUGCAUGUUCAAGUAUAGCAAGUGUACAGUGAAACUGCGAAUGGCUCAUUAAAUCAGUUAUAAUUUAUUUGAUAGUGAAAUUGUACAUGGAUAACCGUGGCAAUUCUAGAGCUAAUACAUGCAUCAACUCCCAACUGCUUCGCGGAAGGGAUGUAUUUAUUAGAUUGAAACCAAUGCACUUCGGUGGUAUUGUGGUGAAUCAUGAUAACUUUGCGGAUCGUAUGGCUUCACGCCGACGAUGAAUCAUUCAAGUUUCUGCCCUAUCAGCUUUGGAUGGUAGGGUAUUGGCCUACCAUGGCUUUGACGGGUAACGGAGAAUUGGGGUUCGGUUCCGGAGAGGGAGCCUGAGAGAUGGCUACCACAUCCAAGGAAGGCAGCAGG
RNAcentral lists this ribosomal RNA (402 nucleotides) under uncultured marine stramenopile. Its description in RNAcentral is "partial small subunit ribosomal RNA". It matches the Rfam family "Eukaryotic small subunit ribosomal RNA", at positions 30 to 432 of the family's 1831-position model. The record is from RNAcentral.